UAGGGAAUCUUCCACAAUGGACGCAAGUCUGAUGGAGCAACGCCGCGUGAGUGAAGAAGGUUUUCGGACCGUAAAGCUCUGUUGUUGGUGAAGAAGGAUAGAGGUAGUAACUGGCCUUUAUUUGACGGUAAUCAACCAGAAAGUCACGGCUAACUACGUGCCAGCAGCCGCGGUAAUACGUAGGUGGCAAGCGUUGUCCGGAUUUAUUGGGCGUAAAGCGAGCGCAGGCGGAAGAAUAAGUCUGAUGUGAAAGCCCUCGGUUUAACCGAGGAAUUGCAUCGGAAACUGUUUUCUUGAGUGCAGAAGAGGAGAGUAGAACUCCAUGUGUAGCGGUGGAAUGCGUAGAUAUAUGGAAGAAUACCAGUGGCGAAGGCGGCUCUCUGGUCUGCAACUGACGCUGAGGCUCGAAAGCAUGGGUAGCGAACAGGAUUAGAUACCCUGGUAGUCCAUGCCGUAAACGAUGAGUGCUAAGUGUUGGGAGGCUUCCGCCUCUCAGUGCUGCAGCUAACGCAUUAAGCACUCCGCCUGGGGGAGUACGACCGCAAGGUUGAAAC
Molecule: ribosomal RNA, 554 nt
Filed under: uncultured bacterium
Lineage: Bacteria
Description: partial 16S ribosomal RNA
Rfam family: Bacterial small subunit ribosomal RNA
Source: RNAcentral